AACCCUAUAGUUUAACUAAAAACAUCAGGUUGCAAGCCUGAAAUUGGUCUCCUAGGGUUU
This 60-nucleotide transfer RNA is filed under the name Watersipora subtorquata. RNAcentral describes it as "tRNA-Cys". Lineage: Eukaryota; Metazoa; Bryozoa; Gymnolaemata; Cheilostomatida; Watersiporidae. The record is from RNAcentral.